GCUGCUGUAGGGUAGGAAGGGAGAGGUGUGACUGAAUCAGCUGCUUCCUCUCCCAUCCUCUUCUUGUGCAGAAGC
This 75-nucleotide microRNA precursor is filed under the name Tinamus guttatus (white-throated tinamou). RNAcentral's name for it is "mir-1759 microRNA precursor family". It matches the Rfam family "mir-1759 microRNA precursor family". The record is from Rfam by way of RNAcentral. Lineage: Eukaryota; Metazoa; Chordata; Aves; Tinamiformes; Tinamidae.